Molecule: ribosomal RNA, 492 nt
Filed under: uncultured bacterium
Lineage: Bacteria
Description: partial 16S ribosomal RNA
Rfam family: Bacterial small subunit ribosomal RNA
Source: RNAcentral
AGUGAACGCUGGCGGUAGGCCUAACACAUGCAAGUCGAACGGCAGCACAGUAAGAGCUUGCUCUUACGGGUGGCGAGUGGCGGACGGGUGAGGAAUACAUCGGAAUCUACUUUUUCGUGGGGGAUAACGUAGGGAAACUUACGCUAAUACCGCAUACGACCUACGGGUGAAAGCAGGGGAUCUUCGGACCUUGCGCGAUUGAAUGAGCCGAUGUUGGAUUAGCUAGUUGGCGGGGUAAAGGCCCACCAAGGCGACGAUCCGUAGCUGGUCUGAGAGGAUGAUCAGCCACACUGGAACUGAGACACAGUCCAGACUCCUACGGGAGGCAGCAGUGGGGAAUAUUGGACAAUGGGCGCAAGCCUGAUCCAGCCAUACCGCGUGGGUGAAGAAGGCCUUCGGGUUGUAAAGCCCUUUUGUUGGGAAAGAAAAGCAGCAGGUUAAUACCCCGCUGUUCUGACGGUACCCAAAGAAUAAGCACCGGCUAACUUCGUG